GAGCAUUUCUAAAUGACUUGAAGCUCUGUCACGGCAUAAUCUCUUAUAAAUAAAUGUCAGUGUAGUCACUGAAUGCAGACUGGAUUUUUGCCUGACUACGGUGCUCAGCCUUCUAGACAAUAGUUAUGCUAAGGGAUUAUCUUUUAACAUUGUGCAGUUAUCUCCUUUGUUUGUUUUCUUUUUUCAUUAUUCACAUAAGCCAAGGGAAAUGAAAAGCAUCUUAUUUCAGGCAAAAAGGCCUGUGAAUGAUUAACUCUGGUUCCAUGCGUUGGGACUUUGCAUAGCAACCCCGUGGCUUGCAACGACAAAAAAGCUCAAGGCAGGAACAGCAGCCCAGGGACCUGAGACCAGCGUUCUCAAAUGAAGCCAGAUCUGCUGUUAGAGGAGAAUUCUUCUGUCCUAGCUGUGUCUCUGUGAUCUGUGGAUGAGGGUGGGAAAGCACCACUCAGUCAAUUGGGGUGUACAAAAUGGAGUUUGAGAAGGUCUCACAUCCAGGUUGUUUUGAAGCAAAGUCCAAGCAUUGUAUCACUUCAUCUGCAAAUAUUUCAAUAAGUACCCAAAAGUGGUUGGACUGAGUCCCAUGAAGCCAGAUCACUUCUGACUGCAAGGAGCUUGGAAAAGCAAGUAUCUGGAUCUUUUACCAGCUAAAUUUGGAGAAUUAUUGAUCAAAUUUGGAUCUCUGUGUGCUGUCCUCCAAUUUAAUACUUUCUGUGUUGCUGUUUUAUUUUCUUUCUUCUGGAACCUGGCAAAGUGCGUCAAGCGAUGAGGCUUCCUCUUUGAAGAUCACAGGUGAGAAGAUUAGGUGCUUUCUCAGAAGCCCAGCAACCUGAUGGGAGUGUGGAGUGAGCAAGACCCAAAUCGGAGCUUCAUCCCUGCAUGGUUCAUUUUGCUUAUUUGGCAAACUUGCCCUGCAGAAUCUACUCAAGCUUCCUCAGUUUCUCAAAUCAUUCUUGGGCAACAAAUGAACAAGAAAGAGGACGUCUUAUUAUCUGGUGUCUGGCUUGCUGAUUUAAUAACCUAGGAGACAGUGUUUGAAGAACACAAACUCUAAAGUCCUUCACUUAAAAAAAAAAAAAAACUUUCCCAAAUUGCUUACCAUUUGGAAAAAUUGCCUUACCUUCUUCAGUCAUCUCUGAUGUUGUCAUCCUCAGAGUAAGAAGUACGCAUUCAUAAGGAACCAUAACGUCCUUCAGGAAAUCCAGUACACCCUACAAUUUUACCUAAAACUUUGAUGUUGUUUUUUCUGAGCAUUUUACCUUCUAGGGAAAUGGAUCUCAUGCUGUUUAUCAGUUUCUGAAAGUUGUUAUUAAUCUCCCCUCAUCCCAAAAUUGAAGAACUUUGCUUAAAUCUUAGAAUCAGAACUUUGGCUCCAGUAAUAAAGACUUUUCAAUAUCUUUAUCUGCCAUUGAGUCUUACCUAACGAAAUAAAGCCUCCAAAGUGGGAAUUUGAAA
Molecule: long non-coding RNA, 1452 nt
Filed under: Homo sapiens (human)
Lineage: Eukaryota; Metazoa; Chordata; Mammalia; Primates; Hominidae
Description: long intergenic non-protein coding RNA 1091
Source: RNAcentral